UACGUAGGGUGCGAGCGUUAAUCGGAAUUACUGGGCGUAAAGCGUGCGUAGACGGUUAUUUAAGUCGGGUGUGAAAGCCCCGGGCUCAACCUGGGAAUUGCAUUCGAGACUGAAUAGCUAGGGUACGGUAGAGGGAAGCGGAAUUUCCUGUGUAGCGGUGAAAUGCGUAGAUAUAGGAAGGAACACCAGUGGCGAAGGCGACUACCUGGACUGAUACUGACACUGAGGUGCGAAAGCGUGGGGAGCAAACAGG
RNAcentral lists this ribosomal RNA (253 nucleotides) under uncultured prokaryote. RNAcentral's name for it is "partial 16S ribosomal RNA". It matches the Rfam family "Bacterial small subunit ribosomal RNA", at positions 524 to 776 of the family's 1533-position model. The record is from RNAcentral.